AUAAUACUCCCUCCGUCCGGAAUUACUUGUCAUCAAAAUGGAUGUGUCUAGAACUAAAAUACAUCUAGAUACAUCCAUUUCAAUGACAAGUAUUUUCGGACAGAGGGAGUAGUAG
Non-coding RNA from Triticum aestivum (bread wheat), 115 nucleotides. The record is from Rfam. NCBI's taxonomy places the organism in Eukaryota, Viridiplantae, Streptophyta, Magnoliopsida, Poales, Poaceae.